This 482-nucleotide ribosomal RNA is filed under the name uncultured bacterium. RNAcentral's name for it is "bacterial SSU rRNA". It matches the Rfam family "Bacterial small subunit ribosomal RNA", at positions 30 to 507 of the family's 1533-position model. The record is from RNAcentral.
AUUGAACGCUGGCGGCAUGCCUUACACAUGCAAGUCGAACGGCAGCGGACCUUCGGGUGCCGGCGAGUGGCGAACGGGUGAGUAAUAUAUCGGAACGUACCUUUCAGUGGGGGAUAACGUAGCGAAAGUUACGCUAAUACCGCAUAUUCUGUGAGCAGGAAAGCAGGGGAUCGCAAGACCUUGCGCUGAUUGAGCGGCCGAUAUCAGAUUAGCUAGUUGGUGAGGUAAAGGCUCACCAAGGCGACGAUCUGUAGCGGGUCUGAGAGGAUGAUCCGCCACACUGGAACUGAGACACGGUCCAGACUCCUACGGGAGGCAGCAGUGGGGAAUUUUGGACAAUGGGCGCAAGCCUGAUCCAGCCAUGCCGCGUGAGUGAAGAAGGCCUUCGGGUUGUAAAGCUCUUUCGACCGGGAAGAAAUCGCACAGGUUAAUACCCUGUGUGGAUGACGGUACCGGAAUAAGAAGCACCGGCUAACUACGUG